RNAcentral lists this ribosomal RNA (92 nucleotides) under uncultured bacterium. RNAcentral describes it as "partial 16S ribosomal RNA". The record is from RNAcentral.
CGUAAAGCACUGUCGCGAGGGAAGACGAGAUAGGUUCUAACAGGACCUGUUUGAGACGGUACCUCGAGAGGAAGCACCGGCUAACUCUGUGC